GCAGUCGAACGGCAGCACAGAGAGAGCUUGCUCCUUGGGUGGCGAGUGGCGGACGGGUGAGGAAUACAUCGGAAUCUACUUUUUCGUGGGGGAUAACGUAGGGAAACUUACGCUAAUACCGCAUACGACCUACGGGUGAAAGCAGGGGACCUUCGGGCCUUGCGCGAUUGAAUGAGCCGAUGUCGGAUUAGCUAGUUGGCGGGGUAAAGGCCCACCAAGGCGACGAUCCGUAGCUGGUCUGAGAGGAUGAUCAGCCACACUGGAACUGAGACACGGUCCAGACUCCUACGGGAGGCAGCAGUGGGGAAUAUUGGACAAUGGGCGCAAGCCUGAUCCAGCCAUACCGCGUGGGUGAAGAAGGCCUUCGGGUUGUAAAGCCCUUUUGUUGGGAAAGAAAUCCAGCUGGCUAAUACCCGGUUGGGAUGACGGUACCCAAAGAAUAAGCACCGGCUAACUUCGUGCCAGCAGCCGCGGUAAUACGAAGGGUGCAAGCGUUACUCGGAAUUACUGGGCGUAAAGCGUGCGUAGGUGGUCGUUUAAGUCCGUUGUGAAAGCCCUGGGCUCAACCUGGGAACUGCAGUGGAUACUGGGCGACUAGAGUGUGGUAGAGGGUAGCGGAAUUCCUGGUGUAGCAGUGAAAUGCGUAGAGAUCAGAGGAACAUCCAUGGCGAAGCAGCUACCUGGACCAACACUGACACUGAGCACGAAAGCGUGGGAGCAACAGAUUAGAUACCCUGGUAGUCCACGCCCUAACGAUGCGAACUGAUGUGGUGCAUUUGGCACGCAGUAUCGAGCUACGCGUUAAGUUCGCGCCUGGGAGUACGUCGCAGACUGAAACUC
RNAcentral lists this ribosomal RNA (840 nucleotides) under uncultured Stenotrophomonas sp. RNAcentral's name for it is "bacterial SSU rRNA". It matches the Rfam family "Bacterial small subunit ribosomal RNA", at positions 57 to 902 of the family's 1533-position model. The record is from RNAcentral. Lineage: Bacteria; Pseudomonadati; Pseudomonadota; Gammaproteobacteria; Lysobacterales; Lysobacteraceae.